CAGCCGCCGCGGUAAUACGUAGGGUGCGAGCGUUAAUCGGAAUUACUGGGCGUAAAGCGUGCGCAGGCGGUCUUGUAAGACAGGCGUGAAAUCCCCGGGCUCAACCUGGGAAUGGCGCUUGUGACUGCAAAGCUAGAGUGCGGCAGAGGGGGAUGGAAUUCCGCGUGUAGCAGUGAAAUGCGUAGAUAUGCGGAGGAACACCGAUGGCGAAGGCAAUCCCCUGGGCCUGCACUGACGCUCAUGCACGAAAGCGUGGGGAGCAAACAGGAUUAGAUACCCCUGUAGUCCCUGUCUCUUAUAU
Molecule: ribosomal RNA, 301 nt
Filed under: uncultured bacterium
Lineage: Bacteria
Description: partial 16S ribosomal RNA
Rfam family: Bacterial small subunit ribosomal RNA
Source: RNAcentral